AGAGUUUGAUCCUGGCUCAGGACGAACGCUGGCGGCGUGCCUAACACAUGCAAGUCGAACGGGGUAAAGACUUCGGUUUUUACUUAGUGGCGAACGGGUGAGUAACGCGUGAGAAACCUGCCUUUCAGUGGGGGACAACAGUUGGAAACGACUGCUAAUACCGCAUAAUGUUAUUUGGGGGCAUCCCUGAAUAACCAAAGAUUUAUUGCUGAAAGAUGGUCUCGCGUCUGAUUAGCUAGUUGGUGAGGUAACGGCUCACCAAGGCGACGAUCAGUAGCCGGUCUGAGAGGAUGAACGGCCACAUUGGGACUGAGAUACGGCCCAGACUCCUACGGGAGGCAGCAGUGGGGAAUAUUGGGCAAUGGGGGAAACCCUGACCCAGCAACGCCGCGUGAAGGAAGAAGGCCUUCGGGUUGUAAACUUCUUUUACCAGGGACGAACAAAUGACGGUACCUGGAGAAAAAAGCAACGGCUAACUACGUGCCAGCAGCCGCGGU
Molecule: ribosomal RNA, 497 nt
Filed under: uncultured bacterium
Lineage: Bacteria
Description: bacterial SSU rRNA
Rfam family: Bacterial small subunit ribosomal RNA
Source: RNAcentral